RNAcentral lists this non-coding RNA (30 nucleotides) under Rattus norvegicus (Norway rat). The record is from RNAcentral. Lineage: Eukaryota; Metazoa; Chordata; Mammalia; Rodentia; Muridae.
UAUUAGCUAUCAUUGCUGAAAAGGGACAAA